RNA transcript from Morus notabilis, 1271 nucleotides. RefSeq lists it as uncharacterized. The transcript is spliced from 3 exons. The record is from RefSeq and is a predicted model, not a curated record. NCBI's taxonomy places the organism in Eukaryota, Viridiplantae, Streptophyta, Magnoliopsida, Rosales, Moraceae.
CGAGUGAAGCUAAGUUUGCCGAAUUAGGCAGCCAAACAAGCUUUUUAAAAGAAAAAAAAAAGGAAAAAAAUAUUCUGUCUUUCUCGCUCCUUACCUAAACUUUCUCUCUCCACUGCAAAAAAGAAAAAAUGGCGAUUUCUUCUAGAAAAUCGAGCGGACCUGUACUCCGUUCCCUUUCUCCGUCGGGAAGAUUCUACAGCUCUCAGUACACCUCGUCGCCUUCUUCCUCCUCCUCGGCGUUCGCUUCGUCGAGCUCGAGAUUCUCCUCCCGUUCCGCGACUACUUUCUUCCACCGUUCGGCCUCCCCCACGCGCGUCAACGUCCGCGGCGGCGCGCCGUCCGCGUCCUCCGUGCGGUUCUCUCUCGACCGUCCGACCUCUCCUAGCCGGUCGAUCUCCGUCGGCGUGAAGAGCAACCAGGUCGUGAAGAGGCAGAGCAGCCAGAAGCGGACGUGUCUGUGCUCUCCGACGACUCAUCCAGGCUCGUUCCGGUGCAGCCUCCACAAGAAUUUCGGAAACUCUCACCACACGGCGGCGGCGCCGUACUCGCCGAACCGCCUCAACGCCCGGAGGUCGGCGAUGACGAACUCGCUCGUGAGAAUCGGCAGCGUCGAAGGCGAUCUGGUGAAGCGAGCCUUAGCGGCGUUGAUCCGGCCGUCGUCGCACCAGCAGCGGCGGCGUGGCGACUUCCGGCCGAGGCCGAGCCGGCUCUCGGUCAUGUCCAAAGCCGGAGUUGAAUAUUCUUGAUCGCGAUUUGCGUAUAGGUGUUCUACGUAUUGUUAUUCGGUUGCUGUGCCUUGAGCUACGUAUUUCCUUCGCCACUGGACCAGAUGCGUGAACCAGGUAUAUAUCUGUGCUUUGUGCUUGUUUUCCUUUGCAGGUGUAUUUACCUUUGCUUUUUGAAUUUGGAAGGAAAUCGAUGGAUCGGACCUGAAAGCUGAAAAGAAUUCAAAUAUUAAAUUCCCUGAUAAAUAACAGAACAAAUAAUUAUUGGAAUAAAAAUAAUUUGAAGUUUUAAAAUUAAACAAGCCUCUAGUCGUUGUGCGAGAGGUACCUAACCUUAACUAGCUGAUCAACUGAAUAAUGUUUUGAUAUUAAAGUUGUACUUAAACGCAAUUUUUUUUUUUUCCAAAAAAAAAGUAAGAGUUGGUACUUCUACAAUUAAAAACAUUUAAAUCAAAUAAAUCCCUUCGUCACAAUCAAUCUUAUCCCACCGAAAUUAAAAUAGCGAAGGAUGGCCCCUCUGCAUGACCGCAACUAUUGACUAAGAAU